Molecule: ribosomal RNA, 94 nt
Organism: Hucho hucho (huchen)
Lineage: Eukaryota; Metazoa; Chordata; Actinopteri; Salmoniformes; Salmonidae
Source: Ensembl
GCUUGUGGCCAUACCACCCUGAACACGCCUGUUCAGUUGGGCCUGGUUAGUACUGGGACGGGACACCGCCUCGGAAUACCAGGUGCUGUAAGCA